UGGGGAAUUUUGGACAAUGGGCGCAAGCCUGAUCCAGCCAUGCCGCGUGCGGGAAGAAGGCCUUCGGGUUGUAAACCGCUUUUGUCAGGGAAGAAACGCUCUGGGCUAAUACCCUGGGGUAAUGACGGUACCUGAAGAAUAAGCACCGGCUAACUACGUGCCAGCAGCCGCGGUAAUACGUAGGGUGCAAGCGUUAAUCGGAAUUACUGGGCGUAAAGCGUGCGCAGGCGGUUAUGCAAGACAGAUGUGAAAUCCCCGGGCUUAACCUGGGAACUGCACUUGUGACUGCAUAGCUGGAGUACGGCAGAGGGGGAUGGAAUUCCGCGUGUAGCAGUGAAAUGCGUAGAUAUGCGGAGGAACACCGAUGGCGAAGGCAGUCCCCUGGGCCUGUACUGACGCUCAUGCACGAAAGCGUGGGGAGCAAACAGGAUUAGAUACCCAUGUAGUCCCUGAGCGGGCUGGCAAGGCGCAU
This 472-nucleotide ribosomal RNA is filed under the name uncultured bacterium. RNAcentral's name for it is "bacterial SSU rRNA". It matches the Rfam family "Bacterial small subunit ribosomal RNA", at positions 355 to 825 of the family's 1533-position model. The record is from RNAcentral.